ACGCUCGACACCUACGGGGGCAGCAGUGGGGAAUAUUGCACAAUGGGGGAAACCCUGAUGCAGCAACGCCGCGUGAAGGAAGACGGUUUUCGGAUUGUAAACUUCUGUUCUUAGUGAAGAUAGUGACGGUAGCUAAGGAGCAAGCCACGGCUAACUACGUGCCAGCAGCCGCGGUAAUCUGAGGCGGCGUGGACGAAGGC
RNAcentral lists this ribosomal RNA (200 nucleotides) under uncultured bacterium. RNAcentral's name for it is "partial 16S ribosomal RNA". It matches the Rfam family "Bacterial small subunit ribosomal RNA", at positions 328 to 538 of the family's 1533-position model. The record is from RNAcentral.